This is a long non-coding RNA of Lemur catta (Ring-tailed lemur), 721 nucleotides long. RefSeq lists it as uncharacterized. The record is from RefSeq and is a predicted model, not a curated record. The transcript is spliced from 3 exons. NCBI's taxonomy places the organism in Eukaryota, Metazoa, Chordata, Mammalia, Primates, Lemuridae.
CCUCCCUCCUCGCGCUGGACGCUCCGCCGGCCGCCCGCCAGCCGCCGCAGGAACCCCUGGGUCAAGACCUGCUCCACUGUGGCUGAGAAAAGACUAAUAUUCCUCUGCCCGCCUCUGGGCAGAUACUGAAAAAAAAAACUGCUUCCGUAUAUUUUUCCUGCUGGGUGGUCAGAAGGAAAGGCCAGGAAGCCAGAGGCCUCCCAUUGAGAUGCUGCUCUGCAGAGAGCCGACCUCACGUGCGGCUGCCAGAGAAGACAGCACCUGUUCAUCUCUGCUCACUGUACCGCUGAGCUCAGCGCUGGCAGCCAAGAGGGGCCACGGGUGUCCCCCCGAAGCCACCGAGAGGGCUCCCCUGCAGGGAAACUGCACCUGAUGUGUCUGCACCACACUUAAGACGGCCUCUAAAAUGUCCUGGAAGCCAGUGUCCCGUAGAGCGGCUAAGUAGUUUUAACACCAGUGAGUAUGACAUUUGGUUAAAAGGGUGCAUGUGUGUAGGGGUGACUGUGUGUGUUCAAGCCUGUGUGUGAGGCAGGGAAAGGGGAUGAAAAAUGGAGGAAGGUUUCUGUUUAGACAUUUGCAAACGUUUGAUGGCACCAUGAAAAGACAAAGUAACAAAACCCAUAAAAUAGACCAUCUUUUGCUAUGAUUUUGUGUAUACGUGUACAGACGGAUGGUAAGCUUUUUUUUCCUGUAAGGGCUAUAAUAAAACUAUCAAGUACAA